This 253-nucleotide ribosomal RNA is filed under the name uncultured bacterium. RNAcentral describes it as "partial 16S ribosomal RNA". It matches the Rfam family "Bacterial small subunit ribosomal RNA", at positions 524 to 776 of the family's 1533-position model. The record is from RNAcentral.
UACAGAGGGUGCAAGCGUUGUUCGGAAUUACUGGGCGUAAAGGGUGCGUAGGCGGCCUGCUAAGUCGAACGUGAAAUCCCCGAGCUCAACUCGGGAACUGCGUCCGAUACUGACAGGCUUGAAUCCGGGAGAGGGAUGCGGAAUUCCAGGUGUAGCGGUGAAAUGCGUAGAUAUCUGGAGGAACACCGGUGGCGAAGGCGGCAUCCUGGACCGGCAUUGACGCUGAGGCGCGAAAGCUAGGGGAGCAAACGGG